RNAcentral lists this ribosomal RNA (227 nucleotides) under uncultured bacterium. RNAcentral's name for it is "partial 16S ribosomal RNA". It matches the Rfam family "Bacterial small subunit ribosomal RNA", at positions 524 to 747 of the family's 1533-position model. The record is from RNAcentral.
UACGUAGGGUGCAAGCGUUGUCCGGAAUUAUUGGGCGUAAAGGAGCUCGUGAGGCGGUCUGUCGCGUCUGCUGUGAAAACUCAGGGCUUAACCCUGAGCUUGCAGUGGGUACGGGCAGACUAGAGUGCGGUAGGGGAGACUGGAAUUCCUGGUGUAGCGGUGAAAUGCGCAGAUAUCAGGAGGAACACCGGUGGCGAAGGCGGGUCUCUGGGCCGUAACUGGACGCU